UUAAUUGAAGCCAAAUUAAGAGGCACCUUAUUGUUAAUAAGGUAAAUGAUAAAUAAUCCAGUUAAA
RNAcentral lists this transfer RNA (66 nucleotides) under Iassus lateralis. RNAcentral's name for it is "tRNA-Asn". The record is from RNAcentral. Lineage: Eukaryota; Metazoa; Arthropoda; Insecta; Hemiptera; Cicadellidae.